UGGCUCAGGAUGAACGCUAGCUACAGGCUUAACACAUGCAAGUCGAGGGGCAGCAUUUCAGUUUGCUUGCAAACUGGAGAUGGCGACCGGCGCACGGGUGAGUAACACGUAUCCAACCUGCCGAUAACUCGGGGAUAGCCUUUCGAAAGAAAGAUUAAUACCCGAUGGUAUAAUCAGACCGCAUGGUUUGAUUAUUAAAGAAUUUCGGUUAUCGAUGGGGAUGCGUUCCAUUAGGCAGUUGGUGAGGUAACGGCUCACCAAACCUUCGAUGGAUAGGGGUUCUGAGAGGAAGGUCCCCCACAUUGGAACUGAGACACGGUCCAAACUCCUACGGGAGGCAGCAGUGAGGAAUAUUGGUCAAUGGACGAGAGUCUGAACCAGCCAAGUAGCGUGAAGGAUGACUGCCCUAUGGGUUGUAAACUUCUUUUAUAUGGGAAUAAAGUUUUCCACGCGUGGAAUUUUGUAUGUACCAUAUGAAUAAGGAUCGGCUAACUCCGUGCCAGCAGCCGCGGUAAUACGGAGGAUCCGAGCGUUAUCCGGAUUUAUUGGGUUUAAAGGGAGCGUAGGUGGACAGUUAAGUCAGUUGUGAAAGUUUGCGGCUCAACCGUAAAAUUGCAGUUGAUACUGGCUGUCUUGAGUACAGUAGAGGUGGGCGGAAUUCGUGGUGUAGCGGUGAAAUGCUUAGAUAUCACGAAGAACUCCGAUUGCGAAGGCAGCUCACUGGACUGCAACUGACACUGAUGCUCGAAAGUGUGGGUAUCAAACAGGAUUAGAUACCCUGGUAGUCCACACAGUAAACGAUGAAUACUCGCUGUUUGCGAUAUACAGUAAGCGGCCAAGCGAAAGCAUUAAGUAUUCCACCUGGGGAGUACGCCGGCAACGGUGAAACUCAAAGGAAUUGACGGGGGCCCGCACAAGCGGAGGAACAUGUGGUUUAAUUCGAUGAUACGCGAGGAACCUUACCCGGGCUUAAAUUGCAUUUGAAUAUAUUGGAAACAGUAUAGUCGUAAGACAAAUGUGAAGGUGCUGCAUGGUUGUCGUCAGCUCGUGCCGUGAGGUGUCGGCUUAAGUGCCAUAACGAGCGCAACCCUUAUCUUUAGUUACUAACAGGUCAUGCUGAGGACUCUAGAGAGACUGCCGUCGUAAGAUGUGAGGAAGGUGGGGAUGACGUCAAAUCAGCACGGCCCUUACGUCCGGGGCUACACACGUGUUACAAUGGGGGGUACAGAAGGCAGCUACCUGGUGACAGGAUGCUAAUCCCAAAAGCCUCUCUCAGUUCGGAUCGAAGUCUGCAACCCGACUUCGUGAAGCUGGAUUCGCUAGUAAUCGCGCAUCAGCCAUGGCGCGGUGAAUACGUUCCCGGGCCUUGUACACACCGCCCGUCAAGCCAUGAAAGCCGGGGGUACCUGAAGUACGUAACCGCAAGGAGCGUCCUAGGGUAAAACUGGUAAU
RNAcentral lists this ribosomal RNA (1452 nucleotides) under uncultured organism. Its description in RNAcentral is "SSU rRNA". It matches the Rfam family "Bacterial small subunit ribosomal RNA". The record is from RNAcentral.